GGCGGGAUAGCUCAGUUGGUUAGAGCAACGGCUUCAUAAGCCGUGUGUCGCCGGUUCAAGUCCGGCUCCCGCUA
RNAcentral lists this transfer RNA (74 nucleotides) under Planctomycetaceae bacterium. Its description in RNAcentral is "tRNA-Met". It matches the Rfam family "tRNA". From Rfam's summary of the family: Transfer RNA (tRNA) molecules are approximately 80 nucleotides in length. RNAcentral also lists the same sequence under 2 other names. Lineage: Bacteria; Pseudomonadati; Planctomycetota; Planctomycetia; Planctomycetales; Planctomycetaceae. The record is from RNAcentral.